This 404-nucleotide ribosomal RNA is filed under the name uncultured bacterium. RNAcentral describes it as "bacterial SSU rRNA". It matches the Rfam family "Bacterial small subunit ribosomal RNA", at positions 362 to 758 of the family's 1533-position model. The record is from RNAcentral.
UUUUGGACAAUGGGCGCAAGCCUGAUCCAGCAAUGCCGCGUGCAGGAAGAAGGCCUUCGGGUUGUAAACUGCUUUUGUACGCACCCCCCACGGUCCUGGUUAAUACCUGGGGCUAAUGACGGUACCGUAAGAAUAAGCACCGGCUAACUACGUGCCAGCAGCCGCGGUAAUACGUAGGGUGCAAGCGUUAAUCGGAAUUACUGGGCGUAAAGCGUGCGCAGGCGGUUUUGUAAGACAGGCGUGAAAUCCCCGGGCUUAACCUGGGAAUGGGGCUUGUGACUGCGAAGCUGGAGUGCGGCAGAGGGGGAUGGAAUUCCGCGUGUAGCAGUGAAAUGCGUAGAUAUGGGAGGAACACCGAUGGCGAAGGCAGCCCCCUGGGCUUACACUGACGCUCAUGCACGAAA